CGUGGUAUCCUGUCUGAAUAUGGGGGGACCAUCCUCCAAGGCUAAAUACUCCUGACUGACCGAUAGUGAACCAGUACCGUGAGGGAAAGGCGAAAAGAACCCCGGCGAGGGGAGUGAAAAAGAACCUGAAACCGUGUACGUACAAGCAGUGGGAGCCUCUUUAUGGGGUGACUGCGUACCUUUUGUAUAAUGGGUCAGCGACUUAUAUUCUGUAGCAAGGUUAACCGAAUAGGGGAGCCGAAGGGAAACCGAGUCUUAACUGGGCGUUAAGUUGCAGGGUAUAGACCCGAAACCCGGUGAUCUAGCCAUGGGCAGGUUGAAGGUUGGGUAACACUAACUGGAGGACCGAACCGACUAAUGUUGAAAAAUUAGCGGAUGACUUGUGGCUGGGGGUGAAAGGCCAAUCAAACCGGGAGAUAGCUGGUUCUCCCCGAAAGCUAUUUAGGUAGCGCCUCGUGAAUUCAUCUCCGGGGGUAGAGCACUGUUUCGGCAAGGGGGUCAUCCCGACUUACCAACCCGAUGCAAACUGCGAAUACCGGAGAAUGUUAUCACGGGAGACACACGGCGGGUGCUAACGUCCGUCGUGAAGAGGGAAACAACCCAGACCGCCAGCUAAGGUCCCAAAGUCAUGGUUAAGUGGGAAACGAUGUGGGAAGGCCCAGACAGCCAGGAUGUUGGCUUAGAAGCAGCCAUCAUUUAAAGAAAGCGUAAUAGCUCACUGGUCGAGUCGGCCUGCGCGGAAGAUGUAACGGGGCUAAACCAUG
Molecule: ribosomal RNA, 764 nt
Filed under: Escherichia coli
Lineage: Bacteria; Pseudomonadati; Pseudomonadota; Gammaproteobacteria; Enterobacterales; Enterobacteriaceae
Description: partial 23S ribosomal RNA
Rfam family: Bacterial large subunit ribosomal RNA
Source: RNAcentral